GGCAACUCCAGUCAGUGGCGAACGGGUGAGUAAUACAUCGGAACGUGCCCCGUUGUGGGGGAUAACCCACCGAAAGGUGGGCUAAUACCGCAUACGCCCUGAGGGGGAAAGCGGGGGACCGCAAGGCCUCGCGCGAUGGGAGCGGCCGAUGUCGGAUUAGCUAGUAGGUUGGGUAAAGGCUGACCUAGGCGACGAUCCGUAGCUGGUCUGAGAGGAUGAUCAGCCACACUGGGACUGAGACACGGCCCAGACUCCUACGGGAGGCAGCAGUGGGGAAUUUUGGACAAUGGGCGCAAGCCUGAUCCAGCCAUGCCGCGUGAGUGAAGAAGGCCUUCGGGUUGUAAAGCUCUUUCGGCCGGAACGAAAUCGCCUCUUUUAAUACGGGGGGUGGAUGACGGUACCGGAAGAAGAAGCACCGGCUAACUACGUGCCAGCAGCCGCGGUAAUACGUAGGGUGCGAGCGUUAAUCGGAAUUACUGGGCGUAAAGCGUGCGCAGGCGGCUCUUUAAGUCAGAUGUGAAAGCCCCGGGCUUAACCUGGGAACUGCGUUUGAAACUGGAGGGCUGGAGUGUGGCAGAGGGAGGUGGAAUUCCACGUGUAGCAGUGAA
This 608-nucleotide ribosomal RNA is filed under the name uncultured bacterium. RNAcentral's name for it is "bacterial SSU rRNA". It matches the Rfam family "Bacterial small subunit ribosomal RNA", at positions 78 to 685 of the family's 1533-position model. The record is from RNAcentral.